UACGGAGGGUGCAAGCGUUAAUCGGAAUUACUGGGCGUAAAGCGCACGCAGGCGGUUUGUUAAGCUAGAUGUGAAAGCCCCGGGCUCAACCUGGGAUGGUCAUUUAGAACUGGCAGACUAGAGUCUUGGAGAGGGGAGUGGAAUUCCAGGUGUAGCGGUGAAAUGCGUAGAUAUCUGGAGGAACAUCAGAGGCGAAGGCGACUCCCUGGCCAAAGACUGACGCUCAUGUGCGAAAGUGUGGGUAGCGAACAGG
RNAcentral lists this ribosomal RNA (253 nucleotides) under uncultured bacterium. RNAcentral's name for it is "partial 16S ribosomal RNA". It matches the Rfam family "Bacterial small subunit ribosomal RNA", at positions 524 to 776 of the family's 1533-position model. The record is from RNAcentral.